UUAAGUUCAGCGGGUAGUCCUACUCGAUUUGAGGUCAAGUUGUCAGUUGUUGUCCGAAGACGGUUUGAAGCACAGAGCUCCCGAUCGGCCACCCUCUUGCGAGGUGCCGGCGAAGAUACUUAUCACGCCGUACUAUGUCCAAGCAAGAGUUGCACUAAUGCAUUUGAGGUGAGCCACAGUAAAGCAGCAACACCCAAGUC
This 200-nucleotide unclassified non-coding RNA is filed under the name Sebacina sp. RNAcentral describes it as "partial internal transcribed spacer 2". Lineage: Eukaryota; Fungi; Basidiomycota; Agaricomycetes; Sebacinales; Sebacinaceae. The record is from RNAcentral.